This 496-nucleotide ribosomal RNA is filed under the name uncultured bacterium. RNAcentral's name for it is "partial 16S ribosomal RNA". It matches the Rfam family "Bacterial small subunit ribosomal RNA", at positions 28 to 507 of the family's 1533-position model. The record is from RNAcentral.
GAUGAACGCUGGCGGCGUGCCUAAUACAUGCAAGUCGAACGAACAGACGAGGAGCUUGCUCCUCUUACGUGAGCGGCGGACGGGUGAGUAACACGUGGAUAACCUACCUAUAAGCCUGGGAUAACUUCGGGAAACGGGAGCUAAUACCGGAUAAUAUAUUGAACCGCAUGGUUCAAUAGUGAAAGACGGUUUUGCUGUACCUUAAAGAUGACUCGCGGCCGCUUAGCUAGGUGGGAAGGUAAAGGCCUACCAAGGCGACGGUACGUAACCGGCCUGAGAGGGUGUUGGCCCACACUGGAACUGGGACACGCUCCGGCCUCCUACGGGGGCCAGCAGAAGGGAUUCUUCCGCAUUGGGCGAAAGCUUGCCGGAGCAACCCCGGUGGAGUGAUGAAGUUCUCCGGACCGUAAACCCCUUUUUUUAGCGAGGACCAAAGUGGGAAUUAACUAUGCACGUUUUGACGGUACCUAAUCAGAAAGCCACGGCUAACUACGUG